UUUUAAAUUUUACUCUAGUUUAAAUCAUUUUUUAUUUUAGUGAAUAUAUGUAUUAUUUAUUAGUGUUUUAAUUAAAUUUAAUAUUUAUAAGAUUUUAUAUUUUCAGUAUAUAAUUUUAAUUAAGUAAUCAAAGUUAUUUUUAGACAUAAAAUUUAAUUAUAACAAAAAUUGUGCCAGCAGUUUCGGUUAAACAGUUGUAGUAAAAAAUGAUUAUUGGUUUUUAUAAAUUAUUUAAUUAUAUUAUUUUAAUUAUAUUAUUUGGUGGAAUUUUAAUAUAUUUAAAUAUGAGGUUUAUUAUUAUAAUAAAGUUUAAAAAAGACUAGGAUUAGAUACCCUAUUAUGUUUACAUUAAUUUUAUUAACCUAUUAUUAUUAGCUUUGAUCUAUAAAAUUAAAGGGUUUGGCGGUUUUUUAAUCUUUUCAGAGGAAUCUGUUUCUUAAUUGAUAUUCCACGAUUAAUUUUACCUUAAUUAAUAAAUUUGUAUAUCGUUGUCUUGAUUAUUUUAGAAAAAUAUUUUCUUUUUUUUUAUUUAAUUGAUAGCAGAUCAAGGUGCAGUUAUAUUAAGGAGAGAAUGGAUUACAUUUUUUUUAUAAUCUAAUUAAUUAUUUGAAAUAAUGUUAUAAAGUUGGAUUUGAAAGUAAUAUAUAAUUAUUUUAUAUUUGUGAAUUAAGCUCUAGACUAUGUACAUAUCGCCCGUCAAUUUCAUUUGAAUUGAAAUAAGUCGUAACAAAGUAGAUUUACUGGAAAGUGUAUCUAGAGUAA
Molecule: non-coding RNA, 762 nt
Filed under: Ceratocombus japonicus
Lineage: Eukaryota; Metazoa; Arthropoda; Insecta; Hemiptera; Ceratocombidae
Source: RNAcentral